Molecule: long non-coding RNA, 4225 nt
Organism: Camelus dromedarius (Arabian camel)
Lineage: Eukaryota; Metazoa; Chordata; Mammalia; Artiodactyla; Camelidae
Exons: 3
Source: RefSeq, a predicted model, not a curated record
GGCAUCAGCACUGUCCCCACCUCGACUGCAGCUGCCCUCUGCUGUCUUUGCGCCUUCCCUCUGCACAUACACUGUUAUCACUGAGAUGAAUGAACUCCUGCCUCUGGAAAUCAGCUCUGGCCCAGACGGUUCUGUCUGCCAACUGGUGGCAGGGGACCAGAGCAGACUUCUCCAAUUAGCAGAGUCCCCCAUCAGGCAGCCGGACGGACGCACUGUGUUUAUGUUUGCGGACAGCCUCUCCGGCUGAGGUCUCCUGCGCCGAGAAGUAGAAUUCUAAAGGUAAUACCAACAAAGAUAACCAGUGCCCUACAGAGCUCUGGGGCAUGAGAAUAUCAUGAGAACAACUGGGAAUGCGAGUUACGAGACCAGCUCCUCUUCUAAAACCAGUCCUGGAAAUUUGGGUUCAAUUUUGCCUCUCAGACGUUGCUUACUUAUCCGCCAAAUUCAGAGAUCGACACUUGCUCCAGGGCACGGUGGAUAGAACGCUAGGAAACUCUUCUGGUGUGUUCUGGGGGUGCGAUCGGUGCAGUGGAGGUCCACAGAAUGCACAGGGCCGUGCUAGUCGCCAGUGCCCCCGGAGUGUCCUCCUCCUCUCCACACAACCCAGGGGACAAGCGAUCAGAGCAAUUCUGCAUACGGCUUUAUGGCUUGCUUGCUCUUCCACAAUGUUCUUUCCCCUGGUCUAGGGGGUGUGGGCGUUAGGACGUCACCUUUCACUGAACAUUACACAGUUGAGUAAAAGGAGAUUAUAGAAAAUUUGAGGAAUGCACUUGUUUUCCAUCUGACUGGCAUUGUAACAGCUGUACUCAUAAAUACUUAGCCUCUUUCCCUCGGCUUCCAGUGGUCCAAGGUUGGCCUGGAGAUGUUUUGCUACCAUGCAGACUUGAGAGCACACACCUGCCCACGGCUUCACACUCCCUCUGCAGCCCUUUAGGAGGGCUGGUGACAACGCCACUCCUGGGCACACAGCCCUUGUUUUACUCUUCCUAGAGCAUGCUGUUUUGAUCUCUGCCAAACUACUAGAAAGCGAACGGCUUAGGUCUAUCCUGAAGCCAGCUGUCUCUGCGGGUUACACAGUGUGCCAUUCUGAGAUUCCCCCAGGAACUGGAAUGAAAUUGGAUGAUAUUUCCAGAGAAUGAUUCCUGACUUUCAGACUUUCAGCCUUUGUAUGUCUCUCAGCUUCACACUUUCUCAUAAUACACACACACACACACACACACACACAGAAUAAGAGAGCCUCUCUUCAGUACCAGGUCUGGAGGACCAGGGGUGUUGCUGUGAAGGCUGCUUGUUUACAGAGACUAAACAUGUGUGAGGAUUUAACCUGAAUGUUGGAUAAUAAAACAAACAAACAAACAAACAAACAAACAAAAACAGCCCUGAAUUCCAUAUAUCUGCAUUGACAUUCAAUCUCAGUCUUUUAAAGUCAGGUAUACCAUGUCGUGUAAAGCUUGAAAGCUACUUCCUAUCAUAUCACAUCAUACCUCCACGCUGGGAAUAUGAUGGGAUGGUUCUGAGUGUUGAUGGGGCUGGAAGAAGGAGAGGUGGGCAGGAUAAUCAUAAAAAAAAAAAAAUAAAAGGAGAGGUCAUCUCCAAUUUAUAGACAAGAAAGAAAAUUCAAGCAUGGUUACUGGCUUGUCUUAGCUCUAAAUGAAAUAAAAUGGAUAUCUAGAUUUCCAAACCACAUCUCCUGCAUCUGUUUCAGUGCUACAUCCAAUGCCUGUCAUUUUGUCUUUGGUAACAGUAUGAAGUUGCCAAAGACAGAGCCUUGUGCUCCCAGGCUGCCUUGAUUUUGCUGUCCUCUCCUCCCUUCCAUAGGGACCCUUUUCCCAGGUGACCCUGCCUCUCAGGAUCGCUCGCUAUGAAAGCCAGGGAUAAACUCAUCAGGCACAAACUAGCAUGCUUCUACUCCCAAGAGUCCAACCACAUGGCUCUUAAGUAGUUUCUUUAAAAUGCUGAAAGGCUUACAGCCUUUGCAAAUGCCCUUUCUUCCCCCAGGGCACAUUCCUCCUGUGUUUCCCCUGCAUGUUGACUGCUCUGCUUUGGGGGCUCAGCUCAAAUUGCAUUUCCCCAAAUGGGCUUGCCUUCACCCCACAUCCAAGUUAGACAUGUUAGUUACUACUCCCCACACAGCACACUGGGGAAUUUUCUUCUUAGUUCCCAGGACUCUUCAGCAUUGUGUGUUCAGUUACUUGUUUUCUGAAUGUCUGGUCCUGCUCGCAUGUCCCACCAGGACAACAGAAACCACCCCUGGUCUUUGUUGUUGCUACGUCUUACCUGGCUAGUAUAAUGCCAGGUAAACUGUAGGAUUUCAGUGAUUUUUGAAUAAAUGAGUUAGUGAAUCAGUAAAGGAGCUCUUGUCCUUCAUCACUGACUGAAGCCCCUUUCUCUGUUUGCCAUUAGCACUUGCUUGCUAGGUGCUGCCUUUUAAGAGAGGACUUCUUUUUAAUCUCAGCAAAUUAAAUGAUGAGUCCGGCCCAAGGCUUGGUGUAAAAGAUCUAAAUCACUUCUAUGAGAUAAACAUGGCUGUAAAUGACAACCGAAACUCCAGAUGGCCAUGGUGUCAUGGCCUUCAGGAGGAGGGAAAAGCAUACGUGCUGGGUGGCUCAUGAGAGACUAUGAAGGAGGUGGCAGAAGAUGGACAUCUCCACCACACCCCCUCUUCCUUGCAGGAAAUGUUUCCUCUACAAGCUUAAUUGCGUGAUUCUGGUAGGACUUCAGUCCCGUGCCCCUGGGUUUACUUCUGCUCUGUGAUUCAUGAACUAUCACUCAUAGUGUUCUCCUCAGUUAUCAGGUUGGGUUUUUUCAGUGUCCUUUUUAUAGAUAUUUUCCCAGUUUAAAACUGGAAGAUCAGAGGCCUUAUCUUGAGGGUCAAGGAGUUGAAAGGAUGUGAAGCCUGAGCUAUCUGCAGUCCUGGACCCCAUUGCCUAAGAAAUGCUUUCUUAUAAUAGAAGAUAAACUAGGUAGAGAUAAGAUGGGUGAGUGGGUGGAUCAGAGAGAGUGAGAGAAUGAACACGAGAGAGACGGGGUGUGAUGGUAUCAUCUGAGCAGGUGAGCCCAGCGAUCCGGAGCCUAAUUCAAACUCAGGCCGUCUGGUUAUGGACGUCAGUAAACGUCCUUCGUUGUCUGUUUACCUUUGUUGAAGCUAGUUUCAGCAGUGUUUCUAUUCCUUACAACUGAGUAAUAAAGUUGUCGAGGUAUUUGUGAAUUGGGUAAUUAGAUGACAGACUUAUAGGCAGGAUAAAAGUAAUAAAGUAAGUAAUAAAGAAAAAAACUAAAGUAAUAAAGAAAAAACAAUGGAGUGUGUUCCGAAUAGAAGACCACGAUCACAGUCCCCAAGGGGGACUUCUUCUCUGAUCAUCUGACUGCCAUCACCGUCCUCCGGCUCUGCGUCCUCCCCUGGUACCUCACCAGCACUUGGAACAAUAUCUUGAGCAUGGUGAGGAACUUAAUGUUUGGCGGCUGAAUGGAUGAAUUUUGGAAAUAAGCAAAGUAAUAGAUAAGUGUUGGUUUGUAACACUAGUUUCAGGUUCUGGGUUCUGAGAGCUAGGACGCAAGAAACAACAACAACAAAAUGCACAAAGGCUUUAGGAUCAAACAGAUGUGCAUCCAGGUACUGCCUUGGUUCACUAGACUUAUGCACUUGGACAGUUUCAUUUGCCUCUUCUCUAAAGUGAUCACGGAAAAAUCCAGACUCAAAGGGUUGAGUCUAGUGUGGGUUUUAUGAGAUAAUUUAUAUAAGAUGCUUCUAGAAAUGCCUGGCUCAUAAUAAGUAUCGAAGAAAAGUCAGGUGAUGUCCUAGAAUUCUUGAGGGGCAGUCUUCCCAAUCCGCUUGGCCAGGCAGGUGUCCUCCUUGUCAGAUCUCGGGUAGAUGGUUACCAUGCCUCUGCUUAACUAUAGUCAGUGCUGCAAGGGGCUUUUAGGGCAAUGAAAUUACUCUGUAUGACACUAUAGUGGUGGCUAAGUGUCAUUAUGCAUUUGUCAAAACCCAUAGAAAGUACAACAUCAAGAGUGAGCCCUAUUGAAAACUACGGACUUCGGUUGAUAAUAAUGUGUCCAUGUCAGUUCAUCGAUCGUACCAAAUAUGCCACACUGCUGAGGGAUGCUGAGGGGAAGGGAGUAUAUAUGUGUGGGUGGGGAGGGCUAUGUGUGAACUCUCUGUAUUUUCUGCUCAAUUCUGCUGUGAACCAAAUCUGAAGCUGGUCUAAAAGAAUAAAGUCUACUA